This 734-nucleotide long non-coding RNA is filed under the name Mustela putorius furo (domestic ferret). Its description in RNAcentral is "lncRNA (ENSMPUG00000024825.1)". The record is from RNAcentral. Lineage: Eukaryota; Metazoa; Chordata; Mammalia; Carnivora; Mustelidae.
CUGAUCUGUAGGUUUAAAACAUGGCGCUGGAGCUUCAUGUCACCAAGGUCCCUGAUAACUAUGGUUCAAGGAGAGUGGGGAAAAGCGGGUGAGAGUAUAUGGACAUGCCGCUGGGAAAAUGAAGAGAGGAAGAAGAAGUAGAAGAGCAGGGAGGAAGAGGAGGAGGAGGAAAAUGGAAAAGAAGAAACAGGAAAGAAACACCAACGAUGUCACGGGUGCAUUUUAAAUUGUACAAGUCAGCCAAAGAAUGAGGUAGUUAUUGUGGAAAGAAUCAUGGAAGGGUCUCAGUGCUAAACAUUCAUGAAUGCUCUUCCCAGAUUUGAAUUGAAGGGAAGGAAGCUAAGACCACUUGCUGAAAUGAUCACACAUCCAGUAGGAGAAUGUAGAAGAUGAGAAGAAAAUACAAGAAUCUGAGUAAACCUCAAUAAUGGAGUCAUUUUUCCAAGGACAAUGAAAGCACUGAACAGAUCUUUUAGGACGGUUAUGAAAUUCCUGAGUUAACUGUUCCCUCAAUUUGUAUCUCCUACACCACUGAGCAGAUAACAUCUCUCUCUACACACACAGGUAUGUCCUGCUGUACUAGAGAUUUCAUAUGAAAAUGUAGCUUUCCUUAGACUCCAGAGGAUUUCUUUAAUCAGGUGAAGGGCCACCGUGCUCAAUAAUCCAUUGAUAACUAUGCCUUCACGGAAUCUUUUGGCUAAUCACAGGUAGAUUACAUGAAGUGAACCUACAAU